GAGUUUGAUCCUGGCUCAGAUUGAACGCUGGCGGCAUGCCUUACACAUGCAAGUCGAACGGUAACAGGUCUUCGGACGCUGACGAGUGGCGAACGGGUGAGUAAUACAUCGGAACGUGCCCAGUCGUGGGGAUAACGUACUCGAAAGAGUAGCUAAUACCGCAUAUGAUCUGAGGAUGGAAAGCGGGGGACCUUCGGGCCCGUCGCGACGA
Molecule: ribosomal RNA, 211 nt
Filed under: uncultured microorganism
Description: partial 16S ribosomal RNA
Rfam family: Bacterial small subunit ribosomal RNA
Source: RNAcentral